Molecule: ribosomal RNA, 468 nt
Filed under: uncultured bacterium
Lineage: Bacteria
Description: partial 16S ribosomal RNA
Rfam family: Bacterial small subunit ribosomal RNA
Source: RNAcentral
GACGAACGCUGGCGGCGUGCUUAACACAUGCAAGUCGAACGGAAAGGCCCUGCGUUUGCUGCGUUCACGAGUGGCGAACGGGUGAGUAACACGUGAGGAACCUGCCCUUGACUUUGUGAUAACUCCAGGAAACUGGGGCUAAUACCGGAUAGGAGCUCCUGCUGCAUGGGGGGGAUUGGAAAGUUUCGGCGGUGGGGGAUGGACUAGCUGGUUAUGAGCUUGUUGGUGGGGUAGUGGCUUUCCAAGGCUUUGAAGGGUAGCCGGCCUGAGAGGGUGAACGGGGACCUGGGGCCUAAGAGACGGCGCAGAAUGCUAUGGGCGGCAGUAGUGGAAAAUAUUGCGGAAUGGGCCGGCGCCUGAUGUAGAGACGCCGCGUGCGGGAUGCCGGGCUUCGAGUUGUAAACAGCUUUCGCAUGUGACGAAGCGUGAGUGACGGUAACGGGUCAAGAAGCCCCGGCUAACUACGUG